RNAcentral lists this unclassified non-coding RNA (240 nucleotides) under Hevea brasiliensis (rubber tree). Lineage: Eukaryota; Viridiplantae; Streptophyta; Magnoliopsida; Malpighiales; Euphorbiaceae. The record is from RNAcentral.
UGAGGUCAAGCAAAAGGUUUAGCUAGAUUUCACUGUUAACAGGCUUGUGACAAGAUCCUGAGCUCAAGAAUAUAACAAUAGCAUUCAAGUGAAAAAUAUUGCCACAUAAGCAGCUACAAUGGUGCCACAACCAAUGUUGGAGCAGAAGAGUAGCAGAAAACACAUACUAAAAGGCAAGUAAAUAAGAAGAUGGAGUCAAAACCCACCAUAUUUAAGCACAUCCUAGACUCAUAUGGGAUA